ACCAUUCAGCAGCAGCUAGGCUAUGCCUCUCAUGAUCAUGACACGUAGUGGAAAUUUUCCUGGCUUCUAUACAUCAUCAUCUCUGCCUGGUUAAGUAAAGGGCACUGAACAAGUGAAGCUGUGCUGAAAACAACAGUGGCCAAGGCAGAGAUAUUCUUAUACCUCAACCCGUUGUGCAGAUGGAAGUCUGGCCAAAAAACCAUAAAGCAUCAAGUCUGACUAUUGGUUUGCCAUGGCUCUUUGAAACAGUUACUCUUGUCCUCAUUGUAGAGAUGGCGAUACUAAGGCAGAAUAUGUUUCUCUUGCUCAUCGGACCAAAGUUUGGAAUCACGUCUCAUCUUCGUGUAUUUUGAAAAUCUAACAAAUCUAGAAGAUGGUGUGAAUGUGCAUAUAUUUAGACAAUUUAAAAUUUUGUCAAGGACAUGAAAGAAAGACAUGUUUUCUAACAAAACAGAAAAAAACAAAAAUAAGAACAGAAUGCUUUUAACAUUGCUUAAAGAACUACAGAACUAUGGUGGCAAAGUGAGUAUGUCAUACAAGGUAGGCUAUGUAAAUCUAUGUGUGAUAAUUGUGUACUAUUCAUUGAUAGGGGAUGUACUUUCUACUUAACACAUGUUCUCCUCCUAGAUACCUUACCUAUAGGUACAGAAGUAUCUAUUAUAUUGGUUUAGGCUGAUUCUAAGGGAUAUUUCUCUUAAUGUAAGCUGAAGCAGAGAGAAACUCUAUUGGCAGAUGCAAGUGACUUUUUUAACACAAUGAGUUACUGAAGGAUGGAUUCUUAAGCUAUGGAAUAUUGCUGAAAUCAAAGCUGCUAUAAUGCAGUUAUACUUUCAUAAGUCUGAAUAGAAAAAAAAGUCACAUCAUGGAAAAGAGAACUCAAUCAAAUAUCGGACUUCCACACUAUUUAUGUGUACUAUGUGUACUAUGUGUUCUUAAUAAAUAUUCUCAUAAAUACCUGCAAAAU
This 964-nucleotide long non-coding RNA is filed under the name Homo sapiens (human). RNAcentral's name for it is "long intergenic non-protein coding RNA 2941". The record is from RNAcentral. Lineage: Eukaryota; Metazoa; Chordata; Mammalia; Primates; Hominidae.